AACUCUAAAAGUAACCAGAAAAGGAUUUUAAAAGGGGCCGGGCUGUGGCGCAGCUGUUGAGCAGCUGCCUUAAAUCACUCUGGCCAUGAGGUCAUGAGUUCGAGGCCAGCCCAUGGCGGGGUGAGCACCCAUCAAUUAAAAAUUAAAAAUAGCCCCUGCUCGUUGCUGACCUAACAACCCGAAAGAUAGUUGCAUCUAUCAAGUAGGAGAUAAGGUACCACUUAUAAAGUGGGGAGGCAAGAUUAACUAAUUUACGACCUGGAAUGAGGAAGUGCCGUCAGUGUGGAUGAUGAAGCAGCUGCUCCCCCCUGUGGCCAGAAUCGAACAUCCCCUCAGAAGAAGGUUAACUUGCCUCUGCGUGUGUCUCUCAGUCUCUGUUUGAUGUGUUUAUGGGCAUUGAAUGUUUGCCCUAUGUGUGUUAUAAUGUGAUCCGCUCUGAGUCCCCUUCGGGGUGAGAAGGGCGGAAUAUAAAUACUGUAAAUAAAUAAAUAAAUAAAAAGUACCACCUCCCAGCAGCAAAGAACUGGUGGGAUCACAAACCUGCAAAAGUCUUGGAAAAUGAGCACGCAAAGAUACUGUGGGAGUUCCGAAUCCAGACUGACAAAGUUCUGGAACACAACACACCAGACAUCACAGUUGUGGAAAAGAACAAGGUUUGGAUCAUUGAUGUUGCCAUCCCAGGUGACAGUCACAUAGAUGAAAAACAACAGGAAAAACUCAGCUGCUAUCAGGACCUCAAGAUUGAACUUCAAAGACUCUGGCAGAAACCAGUACAGGUGGUCCCAGUGGUGAUGGGCACACUGGGUGCCGUGCCAAAAGAUCUCAGCCGGCAUUUGGAAACAAUAGACAUUGACAAAAUCACCAUCUGCCAGCUGCAAAAGGCCACCCUACUGGGAUCUGCACACAUCAUCAGAAAAUACAUCACACAGUCCUAGACACUUGGGAAGUGUUCGACUUGUGGUUUUGCAAAACGAAAUCCAGCAUAUCUAUCUUGUUUGCUGUGCCAUACAACGUCGUUGUGUUGAUAAUAAUAAUAAUAAUAAUAUCAGAGUAAUUUAAAAUAAUGAGGAAUUGUGGAAAAUCCUUAGCAGGGUGAUAGUUAGUUUGCUUUCCAUGCCCAUUGGGUAGAGAGUUCUAGUUUGGGGUUUUGCCAGCACAUUGGGAUUGAUCCCCCCUCCUUUUCCCCCUUUCCUCACUUAAAGUUUCUUGCAAAGGCAGGAGAGGUUUUGCAAGGGAGAUCCUGCAGAGGCAAAGCCCUGCAAUUAUCAGGCUCUCUCCCUUCUGCAAGCCCGGGUUUAUCCUCCCUCCACUUUUGCAAGCCUGGGUUUAAGCACAGGAAGAUGAAGAUCCAGGCUUUCUCCACUUCUGGAAGCUGGUUUAAGAGCCCCAUAGAAAGCAACCACUCCAAAACG
RNAcentral lists this long non-coding RNA (1412 nucleotides) under Anolis carolinensis (green anole). Its description in RNAcentral is "lncRNA (ENSACAG00000039999.1)". The record is from RNAcentral. Lineage: Eukaryota; Metazoa; Chordata; Lepidosauria; Squamata; Anolidae.